GCUGGUGUGGCUCAGUGGUUGAGCACUGACCCAUGAACCAGGAGGUCAAGGUUCAAUUCCUUGCCUGAACA
RNAcentral lists this transfer RNA (71 nucleotides) under Myotis davidii. It matches the Rfam family "tRNA". Rfam says of the family: Transfer RNA (tRNA) molecules are approximately 80 nucleotides in length. Lineage: Eukaryota; Metazoa; Chordata; Mammalia; Chiroptera; Vespertilionidae. The record is from Rfam by way of RNAcentral.